RNAcentral lists this ribosomal RNA (533 nucleotides) under Bifidobacterium pseudocatenulatum. RNAcentral describes it as "bacterial SSU rRNA". It matches the Rfam family "Bacterial small subunit ribosomal RNA", at positions 164 to 708 of the family's 1533-position model. Lineage: Bacteria; Bacillati; Actinomycetota; Actinomycetes; Bifidobacteriales; Bifidobacteriaceae. The record is from RNAcentral.
UAAUGCCGGAUGCUCCGACUCCUCGCAUGGGGUGUCGGGAAAGAUUUCAUCGGUAUGGGAUGGGGUCGCGUCCUAUCAGGUAGUCGGCGGGGUAACGGCCCACCGAGCCUACGACGGGUAGCCGGCCUGAGAGGGCGACCGGCCACAUUGGGACUGAGAUACGGCCCAGACUCCUACGGGAGGCAGCAGUGGGGAAUAUUGCACAAUGGGCGCAAGCCUGAUGCAGCGACGCCGCGUGCGGGAUGACGGCCUUCGGGUUGUAAACCGCUUUUGAUCGGGAGCAAGCCUUCGGGUGAGUGUACCUUUCGAAUAAGCACCGGCUAACUACGUGCCAGCAGCCGCGGUAAUACGUAGGGUGCAAGCGUUAUCCGGAAUUAUUGGGCGUAAAGGGCUCGUAGGCGGUUCGUCGCGUCCGGUGUGAAAGUCCAUCGCUUAACGGUGGAUCUGCGCCGGGUACGGGCGGGCUGGAGUGCGGUAGGGGAGACUGGAAUUCCCGGUGUAACGGUGGAAUGUGUAGAUAUCGGAAAAGAACA